UCCGCUGUGGUCUGGUGGUUAGGAAUUACGGCUCUCACCCGUAAGGCGCGGGUUCGACUCCCGGCAACGGAA
Molecule: transfer RNA, 72 nt
Filed under: Angiostrongylus costaricensis
Lineage: Eukaryota; Metazoa; Nematoda; Chromadorea; Rhabditida; Metastrongylidae
Rfam family: tRNA
About the family: Transfer RNA (tRNA) molecules are approximately 80 nucleotides in length. Their secondary structure includes four short double-helical elements and three loops (D, anti-codon, and T loops). Further hydrogen bonds mediate the characteristic L-shaped molecular structure. tRNAs have two regions of fundamental functional importance: the anti-codon, which is responsible for specific mRNA codon recognition, and the 3' end, to which the tRNAs corresponding amino acid is attached (by aminoacyl-tRNA synthetases). tRNAs cope with the degeneracy of the genetic code in two manners: having more than one tRNA (with a specific anti-codon) for a particular amino acid; and 'wobble' base-pairing, i.e. permitting non-standard base-pairing at the 3rd anti-codon position.
Source: Rfam by way of RNAcentral